Long non-coding RNA from Triticum aestivum (bread wheat), 1551 nucleotides. RefSeq lists it as uncharacterized. The record is from RefSeq and is a predicted model, not a curated record. The transcript is spliced from 4 exons. Lineage: Eukaryota; Viridiplantae; Streptophyta; Magnoliopsida; Poales; Poaceae.
AAACACGAUCCCUUCAUCGCUCUGUUCUCUACCCCGUAUCUUCCUCUCCCUCUCCCUCACACGUAUCUUCCUCUCUUUCUUUCUCUCUCUCUCUAAACCCUAGAAACUAUCCCACCGACCCUUCCUUUCUCAGAAGAAAUUCCACGCAUCUCCUCUCUCCAUUCUCUCUCUUCCCCCAGGGAAAACGAAAUCAUCUUCUCUCCACAAACUGAAGCAAGGGAGUUUUCGGCAUGGAUCCAGCUGAUCAAUGAUCGUAAUGCAUCAAAUUUUGGUUCCUCAUCUGGAUCUAAAAAACAACUGGAUCAGGAUCUAAACCAAUGGCGACAAUACAAAACAAACCCGGAAAGUACGCGGACACAGAUUGAUAUAUCAGUUCACAUUAUUCAAUAUCUGCAACACUGUAUGGAAUAUUUUUCGUAGGUUCAGAACCUACAAGUAACCACUUUCAAUUUGAUUUUAUGUUUGGGCAGCUUUUUUAGUUUCUUUCCAAUAUAAUUGGUGUAGUUGAUUGAUUGCUUGACCAAAGCAUUCAACGUCACAAACGGAUUAAAAGUGGACCAGUUUGUGGGUUCCAAGUUUCUAAAUAUUAUUCAGAUGAUAUAUGUAGUUGGGCAGUGCUACAUCUUCGGUUUUUCUAAUCUCCUCAACUUACAUGCUUGAUCACACUGUAAUCCAUGAUGGACGAUGCAGUGGAGAAGGGUUAACGCAAGGCAAUGCUGGAGGUUCCAUUUGUUAAUCUGCUUUAUCUAGCGUCUGCCUAUCGGUCAUCUCAACAAACUACGUGGGCAGGUGUUUCUCAAUGGGCAGGCGUUUCCUCUCCACCAGUGCAUCUCCAGAGUCACUCCCAACUGCCGGUAGCUAGGCCCAUUAUUGUCCUUAGUACGGCCCUAACAGCCACCAGCAUACCGAUUACAGCCUGUCUAUUUCUAAAAAAAAUCCUGCACUUUUCUUGGACCAGGGAAAGACGAUAAUCAGACCAACUAGAUAGCAAAUGCGGAUAUGCAUCGAACAGACUCCAUGUACGUGUUACAAGACUGAAGGGCCCAAAUCCUUUCUUUGAAUUGACACAUGUGGAGAAAAAGCAUGCACUUCCCUUGAGCAGGGCGAAGACGAGAAUCGGACCAACUAGAUAUGUUGGUCUUCUCUCAAAUCUGCAUUCAGGACAGUGGGUUUAGGAAAGUGUUGAGGCGGGCGUUGUCUAUACAGUGGCCGGAUGCUGGAUGCGCAUUUUGCGGAGAUGUCGAUGCAAUGGCACCGGAAGAGGGAUUCAUAUCCGGUGGCAGCUAUAGGCUGCGGCAGGGUAGUCCGGCAUGGGCUCGCGGAAGACUGGAAAUUUGGAAAAGGAUGGGCGAGGACUACAUAGAGAGGCAAACCGGACACAGCGAGGGGCAGAUAGAUGGCACGUCAACACGUUUUUUAGAGGUGGCUUCUACAGUUUUUGUUGUUGGACUACAAACAACAGAACAUAUACGGUUUGCAUGUCUCCAUAUCUAUGACUUUAGCCACAAACAGCAUUUUAGAUGGCAUCUACAGUUUUUUUAUUGAACAGAU